RNAcentral lists this long non-coding RNA (9730 nucleotides) under Gossypium barbadense (sea-island cotton). RNAcentral describes it as "long non-coding RNA (GBAR_LNC016765)". Lineage: Eukaryota; Viridiplantae; Streptophyta; Magnoliopsida; Malvales; Malvaceae. The record is from RNAcentral.
UGGAAUUGGUGAAAAUUUUCACCAUGUGGAUGAUCAUUGAUCUAUCAAACAAUCAGUUUGAAGGGGGUAUUCCAGAGGUUUUUGGGAAGCUUAACUUACUGAAAGGGCUCAACCUUUCUCAUAAUAACCUUAAUGGUGGUAUCCCCACCUUAAUAGGGAAUUUGACAAGUCUUGAAUGGUUGGACCUAUCUUCAAACAGGUUGUCUGGGACGAUUCCAAAUAGAUUGGCAGAUCUGCCAUUUCUUUCGUCCUUCAAUGUUUCUGAAAAUCAACUCCAUGGUCAGAUUCCUCAAGGCAAACAGUUCAACACAUUUGGAAAUGAUUCAUAUGAAGGAAACAAGGCAUUAUGUGGAUUUCCGGUCUCAAAAGGUUGCAACAUCAUUGAGCCAGCACCUCCAAAUGUGCUUGAAAAAGAUGGCUCAAAAUCAAACAUUACUUUUGGUUGGAAAGUGGUGUUGAUAGGUUAUGGAUGCGGAGUGGUGUUCGGAAUGUCCGUGGGAUAUGUUGUUUUCCAAACUGGUAAGCCGAAAUGGUUGGUGAAUUUGGUUGAAAUCCAACAUGAGAAGAAGCGAAGAAGAAAGUCAAAGGAUGGCAGUCGCAGCAAUGGACGAAGAAGAAUCUAGUUAGUGGAAAUGAUGUUCAAGUGUUGAUGUUGUAUCUUCAUAAUUUCUUGUUUUGAAGUCUGUCAAAUUUUUUUCCUAUCGUGAAAGGCUGCAUUGCCAUGCAUCUGUCUUUUUUAUUGUAACCAUUCAUCUAUAUUUCAUUGCAUUACGUAGUAUUUGUAAGGGUUUGUUUUAAAUGUAACAUUUUGUAUGGUUCAACUAUUUAUGUCUCUUUCAUGAGUUUCAUUUUUGAGUCUCAAUAAUCUCUGCAUUCAAGAUUUUGUCAGCUUAUUAAUUGGUGGAUCAAUAAUCUUCAUGCUCAUCUCAUCAUCUUUUUCUCGAGUUAAACACAGUCACUACUAUAAUAAUUUCUUCUGUGUGGAAAAUAAUUUGGCAUUCUGCAAAUUUCCACAAUGCUUGUGGAUUACCUCUGGUUGACGGCUAUACAUAUAAAGGAAGGAAACAAGACUAUGUCAAAAUUUCCAAAAAUCAGUCAUUCAUUUUUGAACAAUUAAACAUUCGUAUUCUAUUUUUCAAAAUUGUAAAUCCUCAAAUAAUGUAAAUUAGUCCUAAAACUCAAGUUUUGAAAUCUUUACAAUUUAACCCCUUAUAGUUUCAAACUUUACUAUUUUAUGCUCAACUUUCUAAAUCUUCAUAUUUCAUGAUCAUAUAAUUUAGUUAUUACAUCAAUAUUUCAGAUUUCACUACUCAAACCCUUACUUCAUUUUGGUCCUUACUUCAAUUUUAUCAAAUUAAAUCAUUUUUCAAUUUGAAUGCAUUGAUGUGAAAUUAAGGGACCACUAAACAAUGUUGAUGCGAGUUUAGGCAAAAUUGGUGGAUCCCAUCUCCACAGCAAUUUCUUUAUGGAAGUACUUGCUUUCACACUGCAAACUUGGAUAGUUUGUGGUGGACGAUGAUGAAUCAUUUCACAAUCAAACACACCAUUUUUAAACACAUAUAUUGAAAUCAUUAUUAAAAUUAUAAUCAAAAUUAAUACAAGUUCUUUUUAUUAGCUUAAGGGCGUAAAAACUCUUCAAAAUUUUCCAAAUAAAAAAUAAAAAAUUUAAGUCCCUCUUUUUUUUUUACACUCAAUUGAGUACUUAAACUUUUAAAAUGUAUCAAAAAUAUCUUAACACUUCUUCAAAAAAAGCAAUUAAACCCCCUUUUUUUUCCGCUCAAUUGGGUACUUGAAUUUUCAUAAUGCAUCAAAAAUACCUUAAUUUUUUUUUCAAAGAAACAAUUAAGCCUCUAUUUUUUUCCUACUCAACUAGGUACUUGAACUGUCAAAAAAACAAUUAAGCACCUACUCUUAUUAAAAAUUAGAAAAAAAAUCAUAAAAAUAAGAAAAAUUUAGAAAAAAUUAUUAAAUUUUAAUAAAAAUUUAAAAACUUAUUAAAAAUUAGAAAAAAUUUUAGAAAAAUUGUCAAAAAAUAAAAAAUUAUAAAAUUUUAUAAUUAAGCACUCUUAAAAUUUUGAAAAUUCUCAUUAAUCUCACACAAAUUUAAAAUUUUUUAUUAGACCCCCAAUUUUUUUUAAAAAUGUUAUUAAACCCUUAAAUUUUUAGAAAAUUUUACCUGCCCCCUCCCAAAAAAAAAACUAGUCCCAACUCUUAGGAUCCGCCAUUGGUACUUGGUAUUAACACUAUUAGAAAAUUGCUAAAUCAACCAAUGAAAAUUUGACACAUGGAACCCUUUUUUUAAAUUAUCAAGUUACGGAUGUUCUUCAAGGGCAUGGAACUCAACUUGAAAAUUUUACUAAUUUGGUUGCAAAAAACAUUGAGGAAGCAUAUAAUGAUCUAACCCUUUUUUGUUUUGUUCUGUUUUUAAUUUGUUAUGGGAUUCUAUUGAAUGAUAAUUUUUUUUAUUUCCCAUACUUGGUUCUUCAACAACAACAUAUUCGAGAUUUUAUUUUUCUAGAAUUUUUAUAUAAAAGUUUGUAUUUUUUAAAAUAAUUUUGAGUUUUUUAUAAUUUUUAUAUAGAAUCGAGGUAAAUUGGCAAAAAAUUAUAAAAAACAAAAUACUAAAAUUGUUUAGUUAAGUGACCAAAGCGAAGAUCUACCCAUAGUUCAGUGGCUAAUUAUGUAGUUUACCCUUUCAUAAUUAAAAAAAUAGUUGUUCAGUUUUUCUUGUAUUAGAUAACAUUUUAGAUGGUAAAAACCCUCUUUAGUCCCUCUCAAUUUUGAUAUUAAGUAAAUUGGUCCAUUUUUUUUUAAAAAAAUCAAAGCAAUUUAAUCUUUGUUAAUUUCGAAAGUGAGCAACUAAGGACAAUUAAUCACAAUGUCAAUAUUUUCCAUCAAUUGUACAUAUUUUUAUUGGUAUAAUAACAAAUUUAGCUCUCCAAGUUUACACAUUCUAUCAAUUUGUUUUGAUUUAACAAAUUUAGCCCGCAACAGUUACAUAUUCUAUUAACAUUUACACAUAAUAUAUAAACAUCGAGAGCUUAAUUUGUUAUUAUAUAAAUAAAAUUAUGUACAAUUUACAGAAAGCAUUAACACAAUAAUUAAUUGUCCUUAGUUGCUCCAUUUCAAAAUUGAUAAUGAUUAAAUUGCUCUAAUUUUCUGAGAGAAACCAAUUUCUUCAAUAUAGAAAUUGAGAGGGACGAGAAAUGUGUUUUUAUCCAUUUUAGAUACUAACAAGUGUUUGGCGUAGUGGCAAGGCAUAUUACAUUCUCAAGGAGAGAAUGCGUAUUCAAACGUUGGAGAUAAUAAUAUUGUGUGGGGUAUCCACGGAUCUCGAACACAGACUGUAAAACAUAUAUAAAAAAUAAAAAGAAUAACAUCUUAAUUUAAAUAAUUAAUAAAUUUUAAUUUCAAAAAAGUAUUUUGAGAAACAUAGGUUUUAGUAAAUAGUAAAAUUGAAUCGAUAAAACAUGUCCAGUAUAUCAGAAUCAUAAAAAUACAACUUAAUUAAUUUGAAUUUAAACUUAACUCGACUCAAUUUGAUUAUAAAAAACUGAUAAUUUGAAUCCAAAAUGACAUGAUCUUGAAAUGAUUUGAAUUAAUUGUCAAACCCAAACGACAAAACUCGAAAUGAUGCAAUCCAAAAACACAAGUCAAAUGAACUAAACUAUGAAAGAAAAAAAAAACCUUACACCGACUCAAAUCCAAAAUAAUUUAAUCCUAAAAUAACCCAAAUUUUAUAUAAUAUAAACUCGAAAUAACCCGAUAAUUUUUUUCAGUCUUACUGUGUUUAUCUUUAUAAGUAUUCUUGUUUUCCUUGCCCAUACAUGUAUUGUAGUUAUCAAAAAAUAUAUUCUACUUUGGAUUUUAUUUAUAUUAAAUUUUAGGUUAAAUUCCGCUAUUACUCUCUGUACUUUAUGAAAAUGAUGGAUUUAAUCAUUGUACGUUAAUUUAAUCAAUUUUAGUCUUUGUAUUUUUUGAAUUGGUCAAUUUUAAACCAUUUACUUUUUGAAUUUUGAAAUUUUAGUCUUGAUUCAAAUAAUAUUAAUAAUAAUAAAAUCUGCUUAUUUAAAUUUAAUUAUUAGUUUUGUACUAUGUAGACAAUUAUAGAUUUAAUCCAUAUUUUUCAAUUGGGUCAUUCCAAGUCUUUAUACUUUUCAAAUUUUAAAAUUUCAAUAUUGAUGCAGAAUGCGAGUUGCUAUUAAUUAAUUGAUUUUUUUAGCCAAUGCAUGUAGAAAUAAUAAGUUGUUAUGUCAUUAUACUUAAAAUAAUAUAUUGGUUUAACCCGCUUAAAUUAUGUCUUUUUUUCCAUCUUGGGACCUAAAUUUUUUUGGGGUCAUAAGUGGUACCUAAACUACUUUUUUUUCUCCUUCAAAUUAGGGCUCCUUUGGAUCACCAGCAAGUUUCAGUGUGGUGAGAUUUAAAGAGUAAAAAAAAUUUGAACUGAAACGCAGCUCUAUUUGGGGUGUUUGGCAAGCACACCAGUAAGCAUUUUUCACCUCACUGUAACCCAAAAUAUUGGCUGGAGUUAAAAGCUUCAGUGGACUGAUUUGGAAGUCCAAAAAUAAGAGUAAUUAUUAUUUUACCCCUCCAAUUCUUCCUUUAUUAUUUAUUUUAUUUAAAACAGAUAACAUAAGUUUAAUAUGUCAUUAUUUAAUAUUAUUUAAUUUACAAUAAAAUUAUAAUUUUUAUUUAUAAAUUUAGUAUAAAUACAAUUUAAUUUAUAUUUUAUUAUUUGAUUCAAAUAUAAUCUGUAAAAAUAUUUUGAUAUUUUAUUAUGAAUAUAAUUUAAAAAUAUUUUAUUGUAUAUUUAAAAUAUUUUGAUAUUUUAUUAUGAAUAUAAUCUGUAAAAUAUUUUGAUAUUUUUGAAUUUUUCUCUAGUUUUAAUUUAUUUUUAAUUAUUUAUUAUUAAAAAUAAAUAUAAUUGUAAUAAUUUUUAAUUAUUUAUUAAUUUUGUAAUUGUUAAAUAAUUUUAAAAACUUCUAUUAUAUAUAUUUUUAAUCUAAUGUCCUUAAAAGUCAUUUUCUAUUUUCACCUCACCGCUACAACUGCGUUUGAAUCCAAACACACACUCCACCGCUGUUUCUAAUCUCACCGCUACAGUAUCCAAUCUCACCGCUACAGUACCUAAUCUCACCGCCACCGCUGUUUUUAACCUUACCGGAACUAAACACACCGCCCAUCCAAACCCACCCUUAGUAUAUUCAUUAGUUAAACUGUUAAGUCUAUUUAAAAAAGAAAGACUCGGACAACAAAUUAAUACUUAAACAAUGCUCUUUUUCCCAAGGUACCUAAUUUUUAUUUUGGCCAUGAGUAUUACUAAAACUAUUAUUCCAUUACUCAUUUUACACCAAAAUGUUAUAUCGGCUGAAAAGAUUCCAACAAAUAAUAGAUUGUAUGUCAUAUAAACUUUUAAAAAUAAUUAUUAAUUAAUUUUUUUCAUAUAAACUGAACGGUUUGACUAAUGACGGAGGUACCAAAUUAUAGUCUAGGUACCAAUUUAUGGGUUAAGCCUAUUUCUAAAAUAGACUUUUGACUAAUGGCGGUAGUAACUUGGGAAAAAAAAGUAGUUUAUGUACCACUUGUGAACAAAAAUAAGUUUAGGUACCAACAUCGUAAAAUGAGUAUAAUUUAGAUACCGAUUUAUGAGUUAAGCCUAAUAUAUUUGUUGCAUCAUUUUUUUGAAAAUAACAGAACUUAAUAAAUUUAACGGUUAUUUUUUGGUGAUGACUAAAAUUUUAAAAUUUGAAAAGUACAUGAACUAAAAAUGACCAAAUUAAAGUAUAAAGAUUAAGUCCACAACUUUUACAAAGUACAAGGAGUAAUAGCAGAAAUUAACCUAAAUUUCAUAUGGGUCACUUACAAAAAUAAUCACUAAACUAUUCCUUUGGUUCUAUUCUAGUCACUCAACUAUAAAGGUGCUCAUGAGCCGGGCCAGGUCAGGCCUAAGCAUGAUAUUAACGUACCUUAUGCUUGCUCAAGCUUGGCUCGGCCCGAAAUAUGAGCUUAAAAUUUCGCCUAAACUCAUCCAUAUUUGCAAAAGACUAACCUAAGCUCAUUUUAGGCAUGCCCAUAUAAUUUUUAGUUUUUUUUUAAUAUUUAUAUUAUAUUAUAUUAAUAAUUAAUAAUUUAAACUUUUUUUAUUUAUUGAAACUUUUUAUAUAGUCAUUUUAACAUUAUUUUAAUGUUUACAUUAUAGUAUUAUUAUAUAUUUAGUAUAAGUUUAUUUUGUUAAUCUAUUCUAAACUAUAUAAUAUAAAGUAUCAUACACUUAAAAAUAGGCCGAGCUGGGCUUGAGCUUUGAAUGUUCAAGCCUGAACUCAGCCCAAAUUUUAAACGGGCCUAAUUUUUUUACCCAAACCCAAUUUUUGGGCCUAAUAUUUUUAUCCAGACCCUCCCAAAUUUUGGGCAGCCCUUGGGCCUUGGCAAGUAGCCCAACUCAUUAACAAGUUUACUCAACUAUUAAUUUUUUCGAUUUAGUUGUUAACCUUUUCGAAAGUAAAUAUUUUAGUCACUCUCCUGUUAGGUGUUGUUAAAUGAGUGAUGGAAAGCUAAUGUGGGCUUUUUUUAUUAGUCUAAAAACAAAUUUUGCCCUCUAAUGUUUACACUUCUAUCAAUUUGAUCCUAGAUAUAAAAAAAAAUCAAAAAAUUUAGCCCUGAAUAUUAUCAAAAAUUAGCGAUUUAGUUCUAAUUCUAAAAAUUUUAAUAUAUACAUAUAUUUAAAAAAAUAUUUUUAAUCCUCUGUCUCACCCUUUGAUUUUUUUAGAGAUAUUCAAAAAUUAAAAUAUAUCAUUAUGUCUUUUCGUUUUAAUGCUAAAAGAGAUAAAAAAAAUAGAAAGCUAAAAUGACUUUUCAUUUGUAAAGUUAAAAAAUACUAAAUAAAUCAUUAUAUCUUUUUAGUUUUAAUUUUUUACUUGAUUAAAAGAGAAAUAAUUAACGAAUGAAAAAUAAUUAUUCCCAAAUAAAUUUAUAAGAAAUGAGAUUUUGCUAAAAGAAAAAGCAUGUAAAAGUAUACACGUUCUUAUGAAAUACAAAGAUUUUGCUAAAAGAAAAAGUAUCCAAUUUUAAGAAUGAAAAAUAUAUGGUAAAAGGAAGACUAAGUGGUUGUUGAAAAAUACAAAAAUUUUGAAAAUCUAAUAUCCAUAACUUUUCAAUGUAAAAGAAAAAAAUGACUGUAACACCAAUGUUGUGGUAUUAUUUGUUGCCUAUAAGUACCAUUCCUAUCCUUCAUCUUCCUCUACCAACAUAACAUGGCCUCCUAUCUCUUUCUGUCCCUGUUCCUCUUCUUUCCCCAUCUUUAUGCUUCUUUUUCUUCUUCAGGAUCUCACUCCUGCUCUUCACUAAUCCAGUUCAAGAACUCUUUUUCCAUCACAGAGUAUGCUUCUUAUCAUUGCAAUGAGAUUGCUGGCCUUCAAUCUUAUCCCAAGACAAAUUCAUGGAAGGAGGGUACAGAUUGCUGCUCAUGGGAUGGGGUCACUUGUGACCACCUAAAUGCUCAUGUUAUUGCCCUUGACUUGAGCUGCAGUUGGCUAUAUGGCAACUUCCCUUCCAAUUCCACUCUCUUCCUUCUUCCUCACCUUCAAAAACUCAACCUUGCCUACAAUCAUUUUAAUCGUUCCAAAAUGCCAUCCGAGUUCGGUCGGUUUACAAGCCUACUCUACCUCGACCUUUCCAGUACAGGGUUUGCAGGAGAAGUCCCAUCCCAAGUCUCCCACUUGUCAAAAUUGGUUUCACUUAAUCUUUCUUGGAUUGGACAACAAUUAACAAUUGACAAACAUGCUCUGGAGGGACUUGUUCACAACCUAACCGAGGUCAGGUAUCUGUUUUUGGAUGGAAUCAACAUGGCUUCUGUUAAUGCUCAAGUCUUUAUGAAUCUAUCCUCUUCUCUAAGGUCUCUCAGUCUUUCUGGUUGUGAUUUGCAAGGAAAAUUCCCAAAAAACAUUUUUGAUUUGCCAAACCUCAAUCUCCUCAACUUUGGAGACAACCAAUUGAGUGGACAAAUUCCAAGAUUAUUGGGGAACCUCUUGCAACUCACUUCUUUAGACUUGUCGUUGAACCAAUUGAGUGGACAAAUUCCAUUGUCAAUUCUAAACCUAACGCAGCUGGAAUUUUUGGCAAUAUCUGAAAAUUUAUUAGAAGGUUCCAUUCCAGAUGAAGUAACCGCUUUUCCUAACCUAAAAUUUUUAUACUUAGAUAACAAUUUACUCAGUGGAACACUUCCGUCAUGGUUGUAUACUGCUCCCUCAUUAGACAGUAUAGGUCUCUCUCAAAAUCAAUUCAGUGGGCAUAUCAAAGAAUUCCAAUCCAAAUCACUAGAAUGGAUAGCGUUAGAGAAUAAUAAACUCCAAGGUCCUCUUCCAUCUUCAAUAUUCCAACUUCUCAAUCUUACCCGCCUCUUUUUAUCCUCAAAUAAUCUUAGUGGUGUCAUAGAGUUUCGCAUGUUCUCAAACCUUCCAAAUCUCGACCUUCUUGACCUUUCAUAUAACAGCCUAUCCUUAACAUCUAAUACUACUUCUACUGUUAAUCAUAUAUUGCCUAAUCUUACAAUGUUAUUUUUGUCAUCUUGCAAUCUUAGUGAAUUCCCCCAAUUUUUGAAAGGGCUUAAAAGGUUGGAAAUGUUAGACCUCUCUUGCAACAAACUUCAAGGCAAGAUUCCACAGUGGAUGCAAGAGGUGGGGAAUGUCUCUUUGACUUUCUUAAACGUAUCUCACAACUCUUUGACAGAAGUUGAGCACUUUCCGUGGAAUAAUAUUGCAGUUCUGGACUUAAGCUCCAAUUUGAUCCGUGGAAAUCUUCCGAUUCCAGCUUCGAAGAUCAAUGUCUUUCUGAUCUCAAAUAAUAGUUUCAAUGGAGAGGUCUCUUCUUUAAUCUGCAAUGCCAGUGAUCUUGAAAUUCUUGAUUUGUCCCACAAUAACUUGAGUGGAACAAUUCCGCAAUGUUUUGGAAAUUUGAGCAACAGCCUUGAAUUCUUGAAUCUGAAGAAGAACAAGUUCUAUGGGACGAUUCCUCCAACAUUUGCAGAGGGAUGCCAAUUGAGUAAUUUCAACUUAAAUGGAAAUCUGUUAGAAGGGCCUUUGACACCAUCCAUCCUUAAUUGUAAUGAUCUGGAAGUGCUAGAUCUUGGUAACAACAAGAUCAAUGAUACAUUUCCUCAUUGGUUGGGAAGUCUUCCACAGCUACAAGUUCUUGUAUUGAAGUCAAAUCAUAUGCAUGGUUCCUUGCGUGUCAAUAGCUCCAAGUCUAGCCCUUUUUUCUCUAAAAUCCAAAUUUUUGAUCUCUCAAGUAAUUAUUUUUCUGGACCCCUACCAGUGAGAUACAUCAACAGCUUCAAGGCUAUCAUAAAUCUAGAGAAGAUUGGUAGUACAGUGUCGUACAUGGGGGUGAAUGAUGGCUUCUAUACCUAUUCCAUUGGAAUUGUUAUAAAAGGACAAUAUAUGGAAUUGGUGAAAAUUUUCACCGUGUGGAUGAUCAUUGAUCUAUCAAACAAUCAGUUUGAAGGGGGUAUUCCAGAGGUUUUUGGGAAGCUUAACUUACUGAAAGGGCUCAACCUUUCUCAUAAUAACCUUAAUGGUGGUAUCCCUACCUCAAUAGGGAAUUUGACAAGUCUUGAAUGGUUGGACCUAUCUUCAAACAGGUUGUCUGGGACGAUUCCAAAUAGAUUGGCAGAUCUGCCAUUUCUUUCGUCCUUCAAUGUUUCUGAAAAUCAACUCCAUGGUCAGAUUCCUCAAGG